UGUUCACUCGGGCAAUAGCAGGAGGAGGAGCUGCCUACCGUAUAAAAAUAUAUAGCCCUGUCGUGUAAUCCGGUUUAGCUCUCACUGUUCAACAACAUCUCCAACUCUGCGCUUGGCUUUCAUCUUCACACACAAUUUCUUGAAACCAUCAUCAUUCAAAGAUGAAUUCGUUAAUGGUUAAAUGCGUCGCAAUGCUGUUCGUCGUCCUAUUGGCCGGAGUCUGUUCGAAGCCAACCAGCGAAGCUAUUGUCGGUUCCCCUCACUUGUUUCACGAAUACGAUUUCGCAGUGGAUCCUCACAAGAGCCAACAACUCUCUCCGCAAUUCCAGGCCGCCAACGGACAUCGCGGCUCCAAACUGAUCGCAUUUUUCGGUACCGGAGGACUUCGAUCAGUGGAAAGACCUGCCAGACCUGCAUAUUACCAUAACUGAGAGAGAAACAACAUUUUAGGGAAAACAAAUUCCUUGUACAUAAUCAAAAAAAUUCGACUGGUUCAUACACGAAACAUUCUUUUCUUA
Daphnia pulex (common water flea) is the source of this 518-nucleotide long non-coding RNA. RefSeq lists it as uncharacterized. The record is from RefSeq and is a predicted model, not a curated record. Lineage: Eukaryota; Metazoa; Arthropoda; Branchiopoda; Diplostraca; Daphniidae. The transcript is spliced from 3 exons.